AUUGAACGCUGGCGGCAGGCCUAACACAUGCCAGUCGAGCGGAUGAAGGGAGCUUGCUCCUGGAUUCAGCGGCGGACGGGUGAGUAAUGCCUAGGAAUCUGCCUGGUAGUGGGGGAUAACGUCCGGAAACGGGCGCUAAUACCGCAUACGUCCUGAGGGAGAAAGUGGGGGAUCUUCGGACCUCACGCUAUCAGAUGAGCCUAGGUCGGAUUAGCUAGUUGGUGGGGUAAAGGCCUACCAAGGCGACGAUCCGUAACUGGUCUGAGAGGAUGAUCAAUCACACUGGAACUGAGACACGGUCCAGACUCCUACGGGAGGCAGCAGUGGGGAAUAUUGGACAAUGGGCGAAAGCCUGAUCCAGCCAUGCCGCGUGUGUGAAGAAGGUCUUCGGAUUGUAAAGCACUUUAAGUUGGGAGGAAGGGCAGUAAGUUAAUACCUUGCUGUUUUGACGUUACCAACAGAAUAAGCACCGGCUAACUUCGUG
RNAcentral lists this ribosomal RNA (484 nucleotides) under uncultured bacterium. Its description in RNAcentral is "partial 16S ribosomal RNA". It matches the Rfam family "Bacterial small subunit ribosomal RNA", at positions 30 to 507 of the family's 1533-position model. The record is from RNAcentral.